CGCCUUAUACUCCUACGGGAGGCAGCAGUGGGGAAUUUUGCACAAUGGGCGAAAGCCUGAUGCAGCGACGCUGCGUGAGGGAUGACGGCCUUCGGGUUGUAAACCUCUUUCAGCAGGGAAGAAGCCACAAGUGUCGGUACCUGCAGAAGAAGCGCCGGCUAACUACGUGCCAGCAGCCGCGGUAAUACGUAGGGCGCAAGCGUUGUCCGGAAUUAUUGGGCGUAAAGAGCUCGUAGGCGGUUUGUCGCGUCUGCUGUGAAAGCCCGGGGCUUAACCCCGGGUGUGCAGUGGGUACGGGCAGACUAGAGUGCAGUAGGGGAGACUGGAAUUCCUGGUGUAGCGGUGGAAUGCGCAGAUAUCAGGAGGAACACCGAUGGCGAAGGCAGGUCUCUGGGCUGUUACUGACGCUGAGGAGCGAAAGCAUGGGGAGCGAACAGGAUUAGAAACCCCUGUAGUCCACGUACCA
RNAcentral lists this ribosomal RNA (466 nucleotides) under uncultured bacterium. RNAcentral's name for it is "bacterial SSU rRNA". It matches the Rfam family "Bacterial small subunit ribosomal RNA", at positions 327 to 804 of the family's 1533-position model. The record is from RNAcentral.